UAGCUUAGGAAUCUGGCUUAUGAGGGGGAUAACUACGGGAAACUGUAGCUAAUACCGCGUAGUAUCGAGAGAUGAAAGUGCGGGACCGCAAGGCCGCAUGCCAUGAGAUGAGCCCAAGUGGGAUUAGGUAGUUGGUGGGGUAAAGGCCUACCAAGCCUGCGAUCUCUAGCUGGUCUGAGAGGAUGGCCAGCCACACUGGAACUGAGACACGGUCCAG
RNAcentral lists this ribosomal RNA (217 nucleotides) under uncultured bacterium. RNAcentral describes it as "partial 16S ribosomal RNA". It matches the Rfam family "Bacterial small subunit ribosomal RNA", at positions 113 to 334 of the family's 1533-position model. The record is from RNAcentral.